GGUGUUGUGUUUCGCUGCAUUAUUGUUGUUAGGCGUGACCUAAGUCAUAGAGACUAGGUACCCACGCCAGGAAGGCUGAUCGGUUAUCUUCGAUAGACCGAGCCGCACGUUGUUGGGAUUCGCUUUGUAAUCCCUUCGUUCGCGUCACAAGGAUGGAAACUAAGCCUCAAUAACACGCCAAUUAUGCUACAAUCUUUGAGGAUUUCUUCUGGAUUAUUUCACAGCUUGAAUUAUGGAAUUCCAGCCUUGUGGAACAUGUUCCUCACCUUCAAUGGACCUCCACAAAUUUGCUUGAGCUGAAACUUCUUUAACUAGCCCGUUUAAUGCCUCCUUGAACACUUUAGCUCGUGCUCUUGUAACUGGCCCAGUUGGAACUUGAACGGGUUCCUUUGUAGUCAUGUCAUUAUUUGCAUCAAUUGGGUUGAGAUGAAAGAGAGACUUAAAAAAAAUACCUAUCCCGUAACUACUAAGACGAUUUCGUUAACCGAUGGAACACUAAACACAUAUUUGUAAGGCGCCCUGACA
This 525-nucleotide long non-coding RNA is filed under the name Phoenix dactylifera (date palm). RNAcentral's name for it is "long non-coding RNA (PDAC_LNC009446)". Lineage: Eukaryota; Viridiplantae; Streptophyta; Magnoliopsida; Arecales; Arecaceae. The record is from RNAcentral.